Molecule: long non-coding RNA, 355 nt
Filed under: Nicotiana benthamiana
Lineage: Eukaryota; Viridiplantae; Streptophyta; Magnoliopsida; Solanales; Solanaceae
Description: long non-coding RNA (NBEN_LNC029831)
Source: RNAcentral
UUUUAGAUAAAAAAAUGUGCAAACGUAUUGCGGAAAACUGACUUAUUAUGUUUGUUUGCAGGAAUUGGUUAAAAGAAGGAAAGAAAGUCAUAACCAACUCAUGAAGGAGUUAGAAUUGCACAUGUUCAAAGAUAAGAUAAAAGCGCUAAGCACGAAGAAAAAGAGCGGCCGCAGAAGGUCUACCACGAGGGCAGCCACAAUUACAUUGACAACAGAAUUGAGAUUCAUAGCAGGCAUUUUGGGGGUACAACAGAUACAGCUGACCAUAGUGAAAUAGCGCGACAAUGGAAUACUUGACCUGGCCGCGGUGCAAAUAACACUAAGGGCGAAAUAGAGAUUCAAAGAUCCUGCAAAG